RNAcentral lists this ribosomal RNA (496 nucleotides) under uncultured bacterium. RNAcentral's name for it is "partial 16S ribosomal RNA". It matches the Rfam family "Bacterial small subunit ribosomal RNA", at positions 28 to 507 of the family's 1533-position model. The record is from RNAcentral.
GACGAACGCUGGCGGCGUGCCUAAUACAUGCAAGUUGAGCGAUGAAGAUUGGUGCUUGCACCAAUUUGAAGAGCAGCGCACGGGUGAGUAACGCGUGGGGAAUCUGCCUUUGAGCGGGGGACAACAUUUGGAAACGAAUGCUAAUACCGCAUAAUAACUUAAACAUAAGUUUUAAGUUUGAAAGAUGCAAUUGCAUCACUCAAAGAUGAUCCCGCGUUGUAUUAGCUAGUUGGUGAGGUAAAGGCUCACCAAGGCGAUGAUACAUAGCCGACCUGAGAGGGUGAUCGGCCACAUUGGGACUGAGACACGGCCCAAACUCCUACGGGAGGCAGCAGUAGGGAAUCUUCGGCAAUGGACGAAAGUCUGACCGAGCAACGCCGCGUGAGUGAAGAAGGGUUUCGGAUCGUAAAACUCUGUUGGUAGAGAAGAACGUUGGUGAGAGUGGAAAGCUCAUCAAGUGACGGUAACUACCCAGAAAGGGACGGCUAACUACGUG